This 1085-nucleotide long non-coding RNA is filed under the name Sinocyclocheilus grahami. RNAcentral's name for it is "lncRNA (ENSSGRG00000045568.1)". The record is from RNAcentral. Lineage: Eukaryota; Metazoa; Chordata; Actinopteri; Cypriniformes; Cyprinidae.
ACUAAAGCAAUUGUUGAAAAUAAAAUAUGCUAAAUUACUGAAUAACAGAAGAAUUCAAAUUUCAGCAGUAAAUAAGAAGCAGCAGGAGAUGAUUCUGAAAAUGAGUAGCCUUGGUGGUGGAAAGAUUAAAGUGCAUGUACCAGGAAUGGCAGCAAAGUUAAGAGGAGUGAUUUCAAAUGUGCCUCUGGAAAUGUCCAUGGAAGAUGUGAAGAAUGAGAUAGAAGGUGGGAAUGUAACAGAAGCCAAAAGAUUCCAAAUUAAUAAAGGUGGUGUUAAAUCAGAUAGCCUGUCUGUACUGCUUGUUUUUGAAAAGGUAAUGCCUACUGAAGUCCAAAUGGGUUGGAUCAAAUACAAAAUGAGGGAAUACAUUCCACAACCGUUAAGGUGCUUCAAAUGUCAGAGAAUGGGACAUACAGCACAACAGUGUAAAUGGAGACAAAGAUGUGCAAAAUGUGGAGGAGAACAUGACUAUGGUAAAUGUGAAAAGGAUGCUAAGCUAAAAUGCUGCAAUUGUGGAGGUGAGCAUAGUGCUGCAUAUGCUGGAUGUGUGGUUCAGAAACAAGCUAAAGAGGUACAAAGAUACAAGGUUAUGAAUAAGGUGACAUAUGCAGAGGCAUUAAAGGGUAUUGGUAUUUAUGAAAACAAACAAAAUAAACCAAUAGAAUAUCAGGAAAAUUUGAAUGACAAUGCAAGGUAUGCAGUACCACAGAGUUCAGACAUAAGGAAAUAUCAGCCAGGAAGGCCAGCACCUCCACAGCAGCCAUGCAAUCAUAAGUGUAAAGUUGAGGAGAACACCUUGAUUGUGGAAAAGAAAAGUUUUAUAGCUUUUAUGUGCAAAGUUGUUAAUGUUGUGACACGACAAGAAAGAAAAAGCGAUAGAAUCAAGACAGUUGUGGAAGCUGCAGAGGAGUUUCUAGGCAUUAAAGAUGUAAAAGCUGAAGAUAUACAUAGUAUGUUGAGUGCUAAUAAUGAUGGGGGAUCUCAGAGUGUUAACUAGUCUUGUAAUGGUAUUCCACCUCUUGCAAUGGAAUGCUAGAAGCUUGAUUGCAAAUGGACAAGAGUUUAAAAAGUUUGUUGCAGAAUCU